This 762-nucleotide long non-coding RNA is filed under the name Oryza brachyantha (malo sina). RNAcentral describes it as "long non-coding RNA (OBRA_LNC002259)". Lineage: Eukaryota; Viridiplantae; Streptophyta; Magnoliopsida; Poales; Poaceae. The record is from RNAcentral.
GCUCGCUCUACCUAUGAUGGGUGAUUCCAAACCUGGACAUUCUUUAUUUAUUGUGUUCUCCAAUUUCUAAUAAGAGCACUAAAGGAUUCAACAUUUAUUAGCAAAUAAUGAACUUCAUGUUCUAUAGGUCUACCUUCUAUAUAUGCUUCUCUCCAUAUAACAUUCUGUCUCAUGUUCUGGUGAUUUCUCUCACUGGCCAUAUUCCUUUCUUCUUGUAAUAACUAGUUCUUGGUCAUGUUGAGCAUCAUAUGCCUAGGCCAUAGAAAAUUGGCGUUAAAGAAACAGCUAAUCACACACUGCAAACAGUCUAAACACAGUCCCAACAUUUUCUAAUAUUUGUAGGGAGAUUACCAUAGGAUUAGGAUGCAUGGGAGACAAUUGAUUAGCCAGAAGGCAAAUACCACUAAUUCUUGGCAUUACUUUCGACCUUUUAAACGUGAUCAUCGUGAAUCUCGGUGGUCUUCACCUCACGGAUUUUGUUGCAGGAUGAGUUGAUCCUCAUUGUUAAUGAUACGGGCACAGCAAACGUUGUUGUUAGAAUCCCUGAACUGGGAGCAGUGAUUGUGAUCUGCAAGAGAGAAGGUACUGUACAGGAAAAUUAAAACAAAAGGUUCAAUCUGUCAUCUUCCAUGGUAUCAUACGCAAAUUUCUUCCUUCUAUCACUGUUGGUAUAUUUAGAUUUAAGAAUGAGGCAUGCAGCUCAUGUAUGCAUCAACCAAGAACUCUGAAUCUUGUUCAAUGUCACUUCCCUGUCAGAGAUUG